CGAGAAGGACUGGAAAUGAGUUCCGGGAACUUUGGUUCCCUUUCAAGUUGUUCCCUGGGAAUUAAGGGGCUCCUAUGAUAAAAAGGAUAUAUAAUUUUCCAGAAAUGACGUUUUUACAGCUCUAAGCUUGCAGAGACUACUAAAUUGUCAUGGCUAAUAGCUCUUGUCCAAUCCCAUUCUAAGUAGGCCAAACUGGAUGAAAAUCAGGAAAGUCAGCAAGCAGCCCCAAAAUACACACCAUCAAUUUCACUGAGUGGGAUCUGUCCAAAAAUUUGCAAGUAAGGUCGAUAGAAAACACGUCGAAAUAUCCAAGGG
This is a long non-coding RNA of Ahaetulla prasina, 315 nucleotides long. RefSeq lists it as uncharacterized. The record is from RefSeq and is a predicted model, not a curated record. The transcript has 3 exons. NCBI's taxonomy places the organism in Eukaryota, Metazoa, Chordata, Lepidosauria, Squamata, Colubridae.